Molecule: ribosomal RNA, 253 nt
Filed under: uncultured bacterium
Lineage: Bacteria
Description: partial 16S ribosomal RNA
Rfam family: Bacterial small subunit ribosomal RNA
Source: RNAcentral
CACGUAGGGCGCAAGCGUUGUCCGGAAUUAUUGGGCGUAAAGAGCUCGUAGGCGGUCUGUUGCGUCCGCUGUGAAAACUCGGGGCUUAACCCCGAGCCUGCAGUGGAUACGGGCAGACUAGAGGUAGGUAGGGGAGAAUGGAAUUCCCGGUGUAGCGGUGAAAUGCGCAGAUAUCGGGAGGAACACCAGUGGCGAAGGCGAUCACCUGGGGUUGUUCUGACGCUGAGGAGCGAAAGCUAGGGGAGCAAACGGG